GAGCACUUGAUACUAACCGAGCCAUCCGUACCCAGGUCUCACGCAGAGGUCUGAGGUACACCUUGUGAUUGCUGGGUCUGGAAAGUGCAACAUUAAAACAAGCCAUGAAGUGUUUAAGCUCAGUGUAUGAAGGAUUACACUGGGUUAUAACUCAGAGGCACAGAA
Molecule: small nucleolar RNA, 165 nt
Filed under: Tauraco erythrolophus (red-crested turaco)
Lineage: Eukaryota; Metazoa; Chordata; Aves; Musophagiformes; Musophagidae
Description: Small Cajal body specific RNA 1
Rfam family: Small Cajal body specific RNA 1
About the family: scaRNAs are a specific class of small nuclear RNAs which localise to the Cajal bodies and guide the modification of RNA polymerase II transcribed spliceosomal RNAs U1, U2, U4, U5 and U12. ACA35 belong to the H/ACA box class of guide RNAs as it has the predicted hairpin-hinge-hairpin-tail structure, conserved H/ACA-box motifs and is found associated with GAR1.
Source: Rfam by way of RNAcentral